AGAUUAAGCCAUGCAUGUCUAAGUAUAAAUAAAUUUAUAUGGUGAAACUGCGAAUGGCUCAUUAAAUCAGUUAUGAUGUACGUGAUAAAUUCUUACUACUUGGAUAACCGUGGUAAUUCUAGAGCUAAUACAUGCAAAAAAGCCUCGACUUCGGAAGGGGUGCACUUAUUAGAUUAAACCAACGCUGGGGUAAAAUCCAGAUUUCUUUGGUGAUUCAUAAUAAUUAAGCGGAUCGCAU
Molecule: ribosomal RNA, 238 nt
Filed under: uncultured fungus
Lineage: Eukaryota; Fungi
Description: partial 18S ribosomal RNA
Rfam family: Eukaryotic small subunit ribosomal RNA
Source: RNAcentral